CCCAACAGUAUCAUUUGGUUUGUAGACCAUAUUGUUAGUCAAAAUGAAAAUAAUUGCCCUUUUAACAAUUUUUUGUGUCUUAAUAGCCAUAGCAAAUUCCUAUCCGGUUCGUAUCGAAGACAAUGAAGAUGAUUCGGUAGAUCUUGAUGGGCUGGUGGAAGAAAGAAAAUCACCAGAGAGAGUUGUUAGAAGUAUUUGUGAAACUUAUAUCUGCAGAAAAUAUUGCGCAAAGAGAGGAAAACCAUUAGAACGCUGUGUCUUACCUAGAUGCGUCUGCGAAUAACAGAAAGGUUGCAUAUUCGAAGAGAUACAUUCAUUGUGAAUGUAUUCAAAAUAUAAUUUUUAUGUUCUGUAUGUGUAAUCAUAUUUUUUUUGAGUAAAGGUUUAUUUCAUGUA
Molecule: long non-coding RNA, 396 nt
Organism: Leptinotarsa decemlineata (Colorado potato beetle)
Lineage: Eukaryota; Metazoa; Arthropoda; Insecta; Coleoptera; Chrysomelidae
Source: RefSeq, a predicted model, not a curated record